This 500-nucleotide ribosomal RNA is filed under the name uncultured bacterium. RNAcentral's name for it is "partial 16S ribosomal RNA". It matches the Rfam family "Bacterial small subunit ribosomal RNA", at positions 30 to 523 of the family's 1533-position model. The record is from RNAcentral.
AUUAAACGCUGGCGGAAUGCUUUACACAUGCAAGUCGAACGGCAGCACGGACUUCGGUCUGGUGGCGAGUGGCGAACGGGUGAGUAAUACAUCGGAACGUGCCCAGUCGUGGGGGAUAACGUAGCGAAAGCUACGCUAAUACCGCAUACGAUCUAAGGAUGAAAGCGGGGGAUCGCAAGACCUCGCGCGAUUGGAGCGGCCGAUGGCAGAUUAGCUAGUUGGUGGGGUAAAGGCCUACCAAGGCGACGAUCCAUAGCUGGUCUGAGAGGAUGAUCAGCCACACUGGGACUGAGACACGGCCCAGACUCCUACGGGAGGCAGCAGUGGGGAAUUUUGGACAAUGGGGGCAACCCUGAUCCAGCCAUUCCGCGUGAGUGAAGAAGGCCUUCGGGUUGUAAAGCUCUUUCGGCAGGAACGAAACGGUGGCCCCUAAUACGGGUUGCUAAUGACGGUACCUGAAGAAGAAGCACCGGCUAACUACGUGCCAGCCGCCGCCGUAA